Molecule: long non-coding RNA, 348 nt
Filed under: Callithrix jacchus (white-tufted-ear marmoset)
Lineage: Eukaryota; Metazoa; Chordata; Mammalia; Primates; Cebidae
Description: lncRNA (ENSCJAG00000063592.2)
Source: RNAcentral
AGAGAAUAACUAUGUGAGUCAGAAUCUGCUCGAGGCUGUCAGCCCAGAAUGCUGUCAACUCCCUGAGGCUCUCGACUUGGAAGGCUGUAGACCCCUGGAUAGUCCCACUUUGCUGUUCUAUCUGUGUAUCUGCUUCUUAAUGCCUUCAGUGCCGCCUGAGUGGGAGUCUCUACAGCCGAGCUGGUCUCCGUAAAGAGAAAUAGAAAAGAAAUCCUAAUAUUUGUAUGGAUCUGAAAAAGAGGAAACAAAAUGCUAAAAUUUAUAUGGAACCAAAAAAUACACUGGAUUGCAAAAGAUGUCUUAAGCCAAAGGAACUAAGCUGGAGGUAUGAACGACAUACAAUGAGAA